Molecule: ribosomal RNA, 253 nt
Filed under: uncultured bacterium
Lineage: Bacteria
Description: partial 16S ribosomal RNA
Rfam family: Bacterial small subunit ribosomal RNA
Source: RNAcentral
UACGUAGGGGGCGAGCGUUGUCCGGAUUUAUUGGGCGUAAAGAGCGUGUAGGCGGCCAGACAGGUCCGCUGUGAAAACUCGGGGCUUAACCCCGGGCCUGCAGUGGGUACGGGCAGACUAGAGUGCGGUAGGGGAGACUGGAAUUCCUGGUGUAGCGGUGAAAUGCGCAGAUAUCAGGAGGAACACCGGUGGCGAAGGCGGGUCUCUGGGCCGUAACUGACGCUGAGGAGCGAAAGCGUGGGGAGCGAACAGG